RNAcentral lists this long non-coding RNA (1455 nucleotides) under Mus musculus (house mouse). RNAcentral's name for it is "long non-coding RNA chr4:134323237-134324692". The record is from RNAcentral. Lineage: Eukaryota; Metazoa; Chordata; Mammalia; Rodentia; Muridae.
GUGAGUGCAAUCUGAAGGGUUUGGGUAGAUUUGAACUAGACUUUCUUAACCCUCGAACGGGCCGUUCAAAUCUUGGUGAAAUGCCAGGCAUUUCGAGCCAUUGCAGGCUCCUGACUGUAUUUCUAGUUUUUGUGGAGCUGAAACAGGAGGAGUGCAAGUCUGAGAAAUCAGGGCAGUUUGGUGAAAUAUUAUCUCAGAAUAAAACAUGCCGGUGCUAGGCUUGGUGACACACAACUUGGAUCCCAGUACUUGGGAGACACAGGCAGAGGCAAGAGGAUCUCUGUGAGUUUAAGGUUAGCCUGGUCUAUAUAGCAAGCUCCAGGCCGGCCAAGACUGCAUACUGAGACCCUGUCAAUAAACAAACAAACAAAUAAACAAACAUAAGAAGUAUUGGCAUGGAGAGAUGACUCUGUGGUUAAGAACAUUUCUUGUGUCAAACUUUUUUGUUGUUUUUAAAGAUAUUUAUUUAUUUAUUUAUUUAUUUAUUUAUUUAUUUAUUUAUUUAUUUAUAUGAGUACGCUGUCACUGUCUUCAGACACACGAGAAGAGGGCAUUGUAUCUCAUUAUAGAGGGUUGUGAGCUACCAUGUAGUUGUUGGGAAUUGAACUCAGGAUCUCUGGAAGAGCAGUCAGUGCUCUUAUCCAUUGAGCCAUCUCCCCAGCCUGUGUCAAAAACUUUUAAUCCCAGAACUGAGGAGACAGAGACAGGCAGAUCUCUGUAACUUUUUUUUUUAAUUUAUUUAUUUAUCAUAUGUAAGUACAUUGUAGCUGUCUUCAGACACUCCAGAAGAGUGCGUCAGAUCUCAUUACAGAUGGUUGUGAGCCACCAUGUGGUUGCUGGGAUUUGAACUCAAGACCUUUGGAAGAGCAGUCAGUGCUCUUACCCGCUGAGCCAUCUUGCCAGCCCAGAUCUCUGUAACUUUUAGGCUAGCCUGGUCUACAGAGUAAAUUCCAGGAUAUCCAGAGCUGCAUAAUAGAGAGAACUUGUCUCAAAACAAAACACAAACAGACAAACAAAAACCAAUCAAACCAAAAUAACACUUUGGUUUCGUUCUUGCAAAGGACCUGAGUCCAGUGCCCAGCACCUACACAGUGGCUGAGGACCAUGCAUAAGUCCAGUUCCAGGGCACCCAAUGCCCAUUUCUGACUUCCAAGGCCACCAGGCACAUAUGUGGCACACAUACAUAUAUGCAGGCACUCAUGCAUACACUUAAAAUAAAAAUAGAUCUUUUACAAACAAUAUCAACAAAACCCAGAGAGGCUGGAGAGAUGCUCAGUGGUCAAGAGUGCUUACUAUUCUUUCAAAGUACUUGAGUUAGGACCCCAGGACCCAUGUCUGGCAGCUUAAAAAUGCCUAGAAUUCUAAUUGUAGGGGAAUCUGACACCCUCUUCUGGCUUCUAGGGGCUGCAGCAUACAUACAUACAUACAUACAUACAUACAUACAUACAUACAUAC